Molecule: non-coding RNA, 207 nt
Organism: Vicia faba (fava bean)
Lineage: Eukaryota; Viridiplantae; Streptophyta; Magnoliopsida; Fabales; Fabaceae
Source: the annotation of a GenBank genome assembly
AUGAAGUUUAGAGACGUGCAACUCAAUCGGAGCCAAGCCUCAAGGAGAGAGAUAGGAAUCCUACCCUUGUCUGGGGAACAAUCCUCCAUGACACAGUGGGUUGUACCAAUAUACGACUAUGUGACGCUUAUCUCGCCGAUUCCAAGCCUCAGUAUAUGCAGCACACGAAAAAAAUAUGCUAUUGCAACGAACGAUGAAUAUAUCUAG